UUUUAUUCUGAUGCUCUGAAAUUUCCUUCGCGUUUUGUUGCUUUUAUUUAUUGACUCGUUAACGAAAAAAAUUUGGGUUCAGAGCAUCUGCAGGAAAGUUCACAUCUGGAUGGAGAUUCAGUCUUUUGUUCUUGUUUCCUAUGCUUUACUGUUUCUGGUGGGGUACAGUAGUUCGCGUCUACUUUUGGAAAAAUUCCAAUUUGGAUGACUAUACUAGAGCUAUGAUCUAUGAAACUCUCAAUAUAUCAAUCGAAAACAUCAGCUACGUUGGUUUGAGAUUGUAUAACUUUGAUCAGAAUGGAGCAAUGACAUUCAAUAAAGAUGCAUGGAUUGCUGCCAGUCAUAUGAGGUUCAUGGUGCUCUCAAAAUGGUUGACUGGCUUCUGAUCGAUCAAACAAUUGCUCAGCUUGGCUUUUACACGACCACAACAUCCCAACUUACUCUGAUAUUUCUGACGUUGUUCUUUGUGAGAAAGGAUUUAGGUCCAUACAAGUACCUGAUCAUCUUGUUCUCCGUGUUUGGAAUUGCGUUUGCAAGUUUCGAGUUUGUGUUAUAUCCGGUCCUCCACUCCUACAACUCUGGUUACAUAUUCUUCACCUCAAGCCGCCCCCUGAACGCUUCAAAUGAAGUCAUGAAGAUCAUGCUGGUGCUGUACACCGCCAUGUACUCUACCACGAUCUCCCUUCUGGCCGUUCAAUUUCUCUACCGAUACUUUGCGAUUUUUCACGAGUACUACCUGAAGUACUUCAAAGGCUGGUACUUCCUAAUUUGGAUCGUCUACGCUGGAUGGUUCGGAUGUCAGUAUGCGAUUGGGUUUCUGGUGUUCAACGCGGUGGAUGAGUACUCGGAAGAGUACAUGCGACAAGAAAUGCAUGACGUGUACGGGCUCAAUGUAGCGGAAGUUCCAUGUGUGAUUCAUGUGAUCCAUCAAUCCAUUCCCAACUCAACCCAUUCCGUUAUUCGCUGGCGAAACGUCUUUUGCACAUUCAACGUCACAUUCAUAAUGGUUGUUCAGUACGGAAUUAUGAUAUUCUGUGGAUAUCAGCUGUAUAACGAGAUGGAGGAGAAACUGAGCAUGCUGUCAAAACAGAUGAGAAGACUUCAUCGACAAAUAUUCAAGACUCUCAUGUUACAGAUAACCACGCCAACAAUUGUCCUGUUCUCUCCCAUCGUUUUUGUGAUCUACCUUCCGUGGCUCGAUUUGGAGCUCAGUGUUCCCACAGGAGUCUUCUUGUCUGGAUUCACAUUGUAUCCAGCGCUUGAUGCAUUCAUCCUGAUGUACGUCGUCACAGACUAUCGGCGAGCGUUCAAAACUGCGUUCCAAAUCUACAAACCAUCCGGAGCGUCGUCACAGCAAUAA
Molecule: RNA transcript, 1360 nt
Organism: Caenorhabditis elegans
Lineage: Eukaryota; Metazoa; Nematoda; Chromadorea; Rhabditida; Rhabditidae
Gene: str-16
Gene name: Non-coding transcript of protein-coding gene str-16
Exons: 7
Source: RefSeq, marked reviewed